CAGAACAGUAGCCAAUGCCAGCCCGGGAUCUGUUGUCUUCCAGCUCAAUCACCUUCCCUAAACCAGCAACUACACCACAUUCAAUGGCCAGUUUUGCAUCUCGGUAGGAAGCAAAUGAAGGAGACUUCUUCUCGAUUGGUUCAUCAAUAGAUAAAGCUUGGAACGGAGUUCCAACUUCAUCCUCGGCAUCAAUAUAUGAGAAAGAAGACAAGUGGCUAACCAGGAGAGCCCUUUCUCCCCCUACCACAACCAGUUU
This 256-nucleotide long non-coding RNA is filed under the name Lathyrus oleraceus (garden pea). Its description in RNAcentral is "Pisum sativum (pea) long non-coding RNA (PSAT_LNC041939)". Lineage: Eukaryota; Viridiplantae; Streptophyta; Magnoliopsida; Fabales; Fabaceae. The record is from RNAcentral.